Molecule: long non-coding RNA, 795 nt
Organism: Sceloporus undulatus (fence lizard)
Lineage: Eukaryota; Metazoa; Chordata; Lepidosauria; Squamata; Phrynosomatidae
Exons: 2
Source: RefSeq, a predicted model, not a curated record
UCCAGAUCCCCUAUAAAAGAGGUCUUCCUUCACCGAUCCUCAUUCGCCUUGGGUUCUUGACUCUCCCUGUGCUUCAGCCAAAGUUGCUCAGUUCAAGCUCCAGAAGGAUGUCCGGAAAGGAUCACCAACAGAAGAAGCAACAGUGUUGCAUCCCACCUGCUGUGGUCCAGAAGCCUUGUCCUAAACCUGCCCCAGAAAACCGUGUCAUUCACCGUCCCUCAUCAAACAGGUCCUGUUGUCUUUCUUCUCCCUCCUCCCCCUCUUCUCACUCCUCCCACCACAAUAAGGAGCACCACCACCACCACGAAGUCAAGGUGAAGAAGCACUAUUGAGAUGCCUCAGAGAUCUCCAGGAACAGUGGAACCAAGUCCCAGCCCUCCGUCGGUACCGAGAAGGUUGCCCUUGGCUCACAUCCUGAUUUCUUAAGUCCCUGCAUCUUCUGCUUUCCCCUCCCUUGGUCCUUUGCCUUGCCUCGCCUUGUCUCCAGGAUCUGGACAUCUUCUCCCAUCAUGACCAGGGCGAUCUGCAUUCAAUGGAGCUCAGUCUUGUGCAGUGAGAACUUUCCAUCACCUCCAUAGAAUCAUGGAGCGUUCUGUAAUGUGGAUGUUUAGGUCCUUAUUGGGAAUGUUCAAUGCUCUAGUCAUAUUUCACCAAGGCAUACAUGGGUAUGUCGUCUGACAUGGAGAUACUCCACUCACAGCUUGUAGUCAACCAUUCCCUUGAUGUCAUCCUGGCUUCCCUUUGCUUAGUUUCCCAUGCUUCCCUGCAAUAAACCUUUGCAAUUCAUCACAACAA